Molecule: ribosomal RNA, 420 nt
Filed under: uncultured bacterium
Lineage: Bacteria
Description: bacterial SSU rRNA
Rfam family: Bacterial small subunit ribosomal RNA
Source: RNAcentral
AUUGAACGCUGGCGGCAUGCCUUACACAUGCAAGUCGAACGGUAACAGGUCUUCGGAUGCUGACGAGUGGCGAACGGGUGAGUAAUACAUCGGAACGUGCCCGAUCGUGGGGGAUAACGGAGCGAAAGCUUUGCUAAUACCGCAUACGAUCUACGGAUGAAAGCAGGGGACCGCAAGGCCUUGCGCGGACGGAGCGGCCGAUGGCAGAUUAGGUAGUUGGUGGGAUAAAAGCUUACCAAGCCGACGAUCUGUAGCUGGUCUGAGAGGACGACCAGCCACACUGGGACUGAGACACGGCCCAGACUCCUACGGGAGGCAGCAGCAAGGAAUCUUGGGCAAUGGGCGAAAGCCUGACCCAGCAACGCCGCGUGAGGGAUGAAGGCUUUCGGGAAGUAAACCUCUUUUCAUAGGGAAGAAUAA